ACACCACCAUAUGUAAAAAAUAAAACUGGUACCUUUCAGAGAAGAUUGACAUGGUCCCUGUGCAAAGAAGACACCCAAAUUUGUGAAGCACUCCAUGUUUUU
This is a small nuclear RNA of Equus asinus (donkey), 102 nucleotides long. Lineage: Eukaryota; Metazoa; Chordata; Mammalia; Perissodactyla; Equidae. The record is from Ensembl.